CACGUAGGGCGCAAGCGUUGUCCGGAAUUAUUGGGCGUAAAGAGCUCGUAGGUGGUUUGCUGCGUCCGCUGUGAAAACCCAAGGCUUAACCUUGGGCUUGCAGUGGAUACGGGCAGACUAGAGGUAGGUAGGGGAGAAUGGAAUUCCCGGUGUAGCGGUGAAAUGCGCAGAUAUCGGGAGGAACACCGGUGGCGAAGGCGGCUUUCUGGUCUGUAACUGACGCUGAGGCGCGAAAGCGUGGGGAGCAAACAGG
RNAcentral lists this ribosomal RNA (253 nucleotides) under uncultured bacterium. Its description in RNAcentral is "partial 16S ribosomal RNA". It matches the Rfam family "Bacterial small subunit ribosomal RNA", at positions 524 to 776 of the family's 1533-position model. The record is from RNAcentral.